Molecule: ribosomal RNA, 340 nt
Filed under: uncultured bacterium
Lineage: Bacteria
Description: bacterial SSU rRNA
Rfam family: Bacterial small subunit ribosomal RNA
Source: RNAcentral
GAUGAACGCUAGCGGCAGGCCUAAUACAUGCAAGUCGAGGGGUAGAGUUAGCUUGCUAACUUGAGACCGGCGCACGGGUGCGUAACGCGUAUGCAACCUACCUUUAUCUGGGGGACAGCCCGAAGAAAUUCGGAUUAACACCGCAUAAAAUCACAGUAUCGCAUGAUGCAAUGAUCAAAUAUUUAUAGGAUAAAGAUGGGCAUGCGUGUCAUUAGUUAGUUGGCGGGUAACGGCCCACCAAGACCACGAUGACUAGGGGAUCUGAGAGGAUGACCCCCACACUGGUACUGAGACACGGACCACGAUCCUACGGAGGCAGCAGUAAGGAAUAUUGGUCAAU